CGAUGAACCACUUCGGUGGGGAUUAGUGGCGAACGGGUGAGUAACACGUGGGCAAUCUGCCCUGCACUCUGGGACAAGCCCUGGAAACGGGGUCUAAUACCGGAUACGAGUCUCCAAGGCAUCUUGGAGACUGUAAAGCUCCGGCGGUGCAGGAUGAGCCCGCGGCCUAUCAGCUUGUUGGUGAGGUAAUGGCUCACCAAGGCGACGACGGGUAGCCGGCCUGAGAGGGCGACCGGCCACACUGGGACUGAGACACGGCCCAGACUCCUACGGGAGGCAGCAGUGGGGAAUAUUGCACAAUGGGCGAAAGCCUGAUGCAGCGACGCCGCGUGAGGGAUGACGGCCUUCGGGUUGUAAACCUCUUUCAGCAGGGAAGAAGCGAAAGUGACGGUACCUGCAGAAGAAGCGCCGGCUAACUACGUGCCAGCAGCCGCGGUAAUACGUAGGGCGCGAGCGUUGUCCGGAAUUAUUGGGCGUAAAGAGCUCGUAGGCGGCUUGUCACGUCGGUUGUGAAAGCCCGGGGCUUAACCCCGGGUCUGCAGUCGAUACGGGCAGGCUAGAGUUCGGUAGGGGAGAUCGGAAUUCCUGGUGUAGCGGUGAAAUGCGCAGAUAUCAGGAGGAACACCGGUGGCGAAGGCGGAUCUCUGGGCCGAUACUGACGCUGAGGAGCGAAAGCGUGGGGAGCGAACAGGAUUAGAUACCCUGGUAGUCCACGCCGUAAACGGUGGGCACUAGGUGUGGGCAACAUUCCACGUUGUCCGUGCCGCAGCUAACGCAUUAAGUGCCCCGCC
Molecule: ribosomal RNA, 791 nt
Filed under: Streptomyces sp.
Lineage: Bacteria; Bacillati; Actinomycetota; Actinomycetes; Kitasatosporales; Streptomycetaceae
Description: bacterial SSU rRNA
Rfam family: Bacterial small subunit ribosomal RNA
Source: RNAcentral